UGUUAAAUCUCACUUUAUGAUUCUUUUUCAUUUUAUGUGUGCGUUGCUGUUGUUUAUCUUCCAUAUUUUUGUUUCCUUUUUGCCUUUUUCCAUUGAAAUCUGUAUAUGCUUAUUUAGCAGGCAUUGAAGGUUACUGGAAAGAAUGUUAAUAUCGAAGAGAGUAUAAUGGAAGAUGGGGACUGGGGAGGUUUACGAGCAAAAAUUAGGGAGCGGGAAUCUCCAUCACGAUCCCACCAUCAGCCCUGGCCUCGGUUCCCCUCGCUGCCCUCGCUGUCUCUCCCUCUUAAACCCCAAUUCAGAAAAGGGGGAAUGGACUAUCACUUCCGUUUUACAUGAUGCCACUGCUGUGAUAAUCUACCCUGUUUCGGCUAUUUGCUGCUUUUCUUAAUUUGGUGAUCUACAGUAAAGGCUCUAGGGUAUAUUGAUUUGAGAGUUGAGGCAUUCCUCAAGUUGUUUGAAAAUAAAAUUUAUGAGAUGACUGAUGUGGAGUUCAAGGUAAGAUCAGAGAUAAAUAGUCUCAUAACAGAGUACCAUUUUUUUUUCUGCAUAUUUAUUUGGACUUCAUCUUGAAGAACUUGAUCAGACUAUGAACACAACAAAAAUUUAUUGGGAGAUCCAAUUAUGACACGGAAAUGAACAUGCGUAGCCUAAACAAGACAUGAUAUAAACUAGUUUAAAGAUAAAUUCAUUAAUGACUACUUUGAGUUUUACUUCAAUAUAUAAGAAUUGGUGCACCUCAGAAGAGGACAUUCAGCAUACAUGUUUAUGGGAGCCUACAUUCACUCGAGUACACAUCAGAUACAGGUGAGCAAGCUCAGCCGAACAAGGUUCAGAUAGAGGAUAUUUUUAGUUUCAGAAGAUCACUACCGCUUCACAGUUCCUUCAAAGAUGCGCUGGUCGUACAAAGCUGUAAGGAUUGAACUUGUUUUCGUUUUUAGACCAAAGACAUUGAUGGAUAAGCUUCUCAAUUUCAAGUUAUAUAAUUGCUUUUGUUAGCUAUUUUAACAUAUUAAAACUAUGUUUAGAUACCAGUGCUUUGCUAGAAGUUAUCAGCUCAAUUUUUAUGUGUAUAAUUGUUGAUUUAAUUUUGACAUUAAUUUGUAACUAAAAUAGGUUGGCUCAGGUAUUGGCGGAAUGCCUUAGUGCGGUUCUUGGUUUCAAUACAGGCACGACCAGUUUCCUUUGUCUUGUUAAGCUACGUAUAUGACUUGUCUUUGCACAAUUUUAAGCACUGUUAUAUUUUAGGGAUCCCACUCCUUCAAAAUUGUCUCAAGGGACCAAAAUGGCUGCCUUUUGUAGUUGGGGUAGGUCUUCUACUGUUAUUAAUUUUCAUUUUGAAUCUUUUGAUCAAGAAAGGCCUACCAUUUGUUUCUGGAAAUAAAUGACCAGUAUCAUCUUAGGCCUACUGUUUUCUUUUUUACUUCCAUUCUUACCUCCCUGUUUACUCUUUUUUCCCACUCUGAUCUUUCUAGCUAACAAAGUUGGCUUGAAAUUCUGCUGUAGUUAAGAACAUGGGAGCUCCUGCAUUGUAAUAGAACCAUUUUCUACACUUGAAAAAUGUUAGUCUGUUAUGAAAUUGCUUACACGGUUACAGUUUGUGAUCUUAACCAUUUGAUCUCUGCAACCAUGAGUGCAGUGUGCGUGAUCUUUGUGCUGUUCUUGGAAUGGAUUUCUUCAGUAUCAUAACUAAAGUUCAUCCAAGCUUAAAUGACUCUACUAGGGUGCACUCCUGAAGCAUGAGUAAUGAUACAUUAGCAAGGGUGGCUAAGACGGUCUUAACACUAAAAGAUAAGAAGCAAAGGCUUCAUAAGGAUUCCAGUCUUGUAUGGUAUUGAGUACUGACUUUCCCUUUUCUUCAAGAAAAGACUUAACCUUUAGAAUACAAGCAAAUCAAAAUUCAGCAAUGGAGAGAUUCCGGAAAGGAUAACUUGAUUCUGCUUAGACCCUUACAAUUUCACAUGAGCAUACUUGAAGAAACUUCAACCAUUUCAAUAAGUUUGUGCAUGCUUGUUAUCGCCAAUAUCAUAGCAUAUGAAGAAACUUUUUCUUUUCUUUGUAAUUUACUUUUGAAGAAUUACAUUUGUUAAUGUUUUCUAGUACAUUCAUAUUUUUCUUUAAAAUAUUUUCGUAUUAUAAAAUUAUAGGUGUAAUAACAAUAU
Molecule: long non-coding RNA, 2159 nt
Organism: Hevea brasiliensis (rubber tree)
Lineage: Eukaryota; Viridiplantae; Streptophyta; Magnoliopsida; Malpighiales; Euphorbiaceae
Exons: 5
Source: RefSeq, a predicted model, not a curated record